This 253-nucleotide ribosomal RNA is filed under the name uncultured bacterium. RNAcentral describes it as "partial 16S ribosomal RNA". It matches the Rfam family "Bacterial small subunit ribosomal RNA", at positions 524 to 776 of the family's 1533-position model. The record is from RNAcentral.
UACGUAGGCAGCAAGCGUUGUUCGGAAUUACUGGGCGUAAAGAGUGUGUAGGCGGUGCUCUAAGUUCGGUGUGAAAUCUCCCGGCUCAACUGGGAGGGUGCGCCGGAAACUGGAAUGCUUGAGCGUGGGAGAGGAAAGCGGAAUUCCUGGUGUAGCGGUGAAAUGCGCAGAUAUCAGGAAGAACACCCGUGGCGAAGGCGGCUCUCUGGUACGUGACUGACGCUGAGACGCGAAAGCGUGGGGAGCAAACAGG